Molecule: long non-coding RNA, 336 nt
Filed under: Homo sapiens (human)
Lineage: Eukaryota; Metazoa; Chordata; Mammalia; Primates; Hominidae
Description: HSALNT0226383
Source: RNAcentral
ACAGGAAGGGGCACUCAGGACGGGGCAGGGAAGGUGUGGGGGGCAGUCGCCACCUGGGUAGGAAGCAGUGGUGUUUUGGACAGCAGGGGUUGGUCCUCCAGUGGCGACUGCCCCCCACACCUUCCCUGCCCCGUCCUGAGUGCCCCUUCCUGUCCUAAGCCCCCUGCUCUCUUCUGAGCCCCUUCCCCUGUCCUGAGGACCCUUCCCCAUCCUGAGCCCCCUUCCCUGUCCUAAGCCUGACGCCUGCACCGGGCCCUCCGGCCCUCCCCUGCCCAGGCAGCUGGUGGUGGGCGCUAAUCCUCCUGAGUGCUGGACCUCAUUAAAGUGCAUGGAAAU